RNAcentral lists this unclassified non-coding RNA (411 nucleotides) under uncultured fungus. RNAcentral describes it as "sequence contains ITS2". The stretch from base 1 to 154 matches the Rfam family "5.8S ribosomal RNA". The record is from RNAcentral. Lineage: Eukaryota; Fungi.
AACUUUUGGCAAUGGAUCUCUUGGCUCUCGCAUCGAUGAAGAACGCAGCGAAAUGCGUUAAGUAAUGUGAAUUUCAGAAUUCAGUGAAUCAUCGAAUCUUUGAACGCACCUUGCGCUCCUUGGUAUUCCGAGGAGCAUGCCUGUUUGAGUGUCAUUAAAUUCUCAACCUUUCCAUUAAUUUGGUUUGGCUUGGAUGUGGGGGUUGCAGGCUUCAUUUGACUAUGAGGUCAGCUCUCCUUAAAUGCAUUAGUGGAACUUUUGUUGACCAUCUAUUGGUGUGAUAUCUAUCUACACUGUGGAUGUGAAGCAGUGUUCAGCUUCUAACCGUCUAUUAUUGACUUUACUUGACCAUUUGACCUCAAAUCAGGUAGGACUACCCGCUGAACUUAAGCAUAUCAAUAAGCGGAGGCU